This 96-nucleotide ribosomal RNA is filed under the name Vibrio europaeus. RNAcentral also lists the same sequence under 1 other name. The record is from RNAcentral. Lineage: Bacteria; Pseudomonadati; Pseudomonadota; Gammaproteobacteria; Vibrionales; Vibrionaceae.
GGACCCACCUGAUUCCAUGCCGAACUCAGAAGUGAAACGAAUUAGCGCCGAUGGUAGUGUGGGGCUUCCCCAUGUGAGAGUAGGACAUCGCCAGGC